Molecule: RNA transcript, 4937 nt
Organism: Daphnia carinata
Lineage: Eukaryota; Metazoa; Arthropoda; Branchiopoda; Diplostraca; Daphniidae
Exons: 16
Source: RefSeq, a predicted model, not a curated record
UUUUUUUUUGUCCAUUUCUCUUUUUCCGUGUGCGUUUCUCUCUCCUUUUCCUUCCACGUUUCUUGUUUUUGUUUCCUUUCAGUAAUGUUUUGUUUCAUUCCCUCUGAUUACAUUCAUCUUCCUCCAUCUGUUAUUUUCGACAGAGGACACUGACACUGUCCUCCCUACGUCGAUAAAGGAAUCCAACUAAACAAAAAACAAAAAACAAAAAAGGAAGACAUAAAAUACUCCUAAUUUGCUUCCAUACACAAGACAUAACAUAGAUACAUACAUUCGAUCCUUUUUUUUUUCUUUUCCUCCCGAUUUUUUUUCCGCUCGGCUGAUUCGAUUCAACUUCUUUUGUUGCGUCCGUCUCCGGCUCGUCGCCAUUCGUUUAUUGCGUUAGAUUUUUCUCCUCUUUUUGGAUCUCCGUUCGCAUUUCCUCCCGUUACCCGAGAAACUUUUCCUUUUCUUUUCUCCCCCUCGUCCGUCCCACAGUGCGCGAGAAAGAAGGGAAAAGAAAGAAGAGGAAACUGACAGCUGGACCGCAUUUCAAAUUGUCGUGAACUUGUCGUUUGGACGGAAACGAUCUCACUAAAGUUGUGGGAAAAAAAAAAAAAAUACAAACAAACAAACAAAAAAACAAACAUAAAGUGCGACAUCUGCAAUUAAAGAGUGAAAACAUAAAAAAAAAAAAGAAAAAAAAAGAAAAAAUUACCCGGCCGAGUUGAUUGUCUCGUCCAUUCCUUGUUGUAAAGAAGGUGUAAAAACAUCAACAUGCCCAAAUGCUGGGCCGUCGUCGUCGUCGCCGCCGCCAGCUCGUCAGGCCGUCCAUCAGGCCGCCGGAUCCCAUCGUCGUCGUCUACUGCCGUCGUCGUCGUCGACCGAGAUCAUCAAUACCAUUUGCGAGUAUGAUUGCCGCUGCCGGACCGCUUUCGGACGGCCCUGAAAAGCAGCAGCAGCAGAACAGACAAUUGCAACUCUAUCACAAACCAUGGACAACCAAAGUAACGAUGCGCAUCGUUGUUGCCAUGGUGGACAGCAACAGCAACAACAGCCGCAUGCCGACGCGCUCCCCGUCGCCGACAAAUGCGACCCUUUCGCCACCACGGCCGCUGUCGAAGCGACAGACACGUUCGAACUCGGCGGCGGAGGAGGACUCGUCGGCAAGCGACCUCUCGUCUUCGACAAGAUGGAGAGCCUGGUGCGAGAGAUGCAGGAUCCCGAGAACGGGGUGCCAGUGAGGAGCCAAAAGUUGUUCCUCACUUCCAUUCCGUCAGCUUUUAUGGGUUACGACAUGAUCGAGUGGCUGAUGGAACGUUUAAACAUUGAAGAUUCGGUCGAGGCAAUCCACAUGGCCAAUCUGCUGUGCCAACACGGCUACUUCUUCCCGGUGGGCGAAUGCAACAAGAACCUGAGCGUCAAGGACGAUAGUUCACUCUACCGUUUCCAGACGCCCUAUUAUUGGGCAUCGCAAAAUCACAGUCCGGAAAACAGCGAGUACGUCAUCUACCUGUAUAAGCGAUCGUUACGUAACAAGCAGAAACAUGGACUUGAGGAAUACGAACUGGAGGCGCUUAGUCGACUCAAGAGGCAGAUGGCCCACAAAUGGGAGUUUAUCGUCAUGCAAGCGGAAGAACAGGUGAGAUUGGCCAAAGACCGGAAAAAAGGCGACAAGAUCGUAACGGAUAGUCAGGAGCGGGCUUAUUGGAGGGCGUACAGGCCGCCACCGAGUUUCCUCAAUUGCCUGGAACAGCCGCCUUUCCCCACCAACUCGUCGUGGACAUCGUCGGCGCCAACUUCGAAUCAGCGGGACGAUGCGGCAGGCACGUCUUGCACAACCGCAUCCGCUAAUUUCAUCAGGAAGUGGAAGAAUGUCGAAGAAAUCAAGACCGAGGUGGAGUUUAUAAGGGGACAGCUGAUAAGGGCGAGGAUUAAGGUGUCGGUGGCAGCCGAAACGUUGCAGCAACACUGCGCCACCUACAGCGAAUAUGAUCCGUUUCUUCAUCCGCCUCAACCGUCUAAUCCUUGGCUAUCGGAUGAUCCAACCUACUGGAUACUCAACGCCGCCUUUGUGGAAGUGCCGACCGAGAAGCGAGCCAAACGUUGGGCCAUUUCCAUCGAAGAUCUCGUGACGGACCAGACCGGUUUACAAGAAUUGACCAACUACUUGCGCAAAGAAUACAGUCACGAAAACAUCCGGUUCUGGUUGGCCACUAAUCAGCUGAGAAGUGGGCCGGCUUCCAGGAUUCUUCAUCGCGUCCAAGAAAUUUACCAAGAGUUUUUGGCACCGGGAGCGCCGUGCGAGAUCAAUAUUGACGGGCGGACUAUGGACCUCGUCCAGCACGAGAUGAAACGUCCGUCGCGGUUCACUUUCGACCGGGCGGCCGAGCACGUCUACAACUUACUGCUCAAGAAGGAUUGCUAUCCCCGUUUCGUCCGCUCUGAUCAUUACAAACAGCUGCUGGCCAACGCACUCCAGCCUUCUCAAAAGAAAAGGUUCUUCAGCUUCGGUGCGACGGGCAAGAAGAAAUCGAUCGUGGCGGCAACGUCAGGAAUCACUGGAAUGGGACUGCCCGUAGGGAACAUGCAGCAACUGAACCUUUCAUGCGGAUCGAGCGCUAUUAGACGAAGGGGAAGUGUCGGCGAACGGAGUCUGUCCGGUUCACCUCCGGAUCAUCCGCAUCAACAGACACUUGGCGUUUCAUCGACAAACACGAGUCUCUUGUUGGCCAGUUCAUCGGCCACAACUGCAGCCGCUUCGGCCGGGAUCAAUAGCAGCCCGGCCGUCGGGUCUUCCGCCGGAAGCUGCACCAACGUCAGCAUGGCUCCUAGCGACGAAUGCGAUACACCUUAUCGUGGGGAUAUGCCGUCUCAACGUACGACAUCUACCGUUCAGCUGGUCUCUCCUCUUGCUCUUCCUCCUCUUAGUCCUCCACCACCUCCACUGCUGCAAUCGAGCAGUACUAGCGAUUCGACGCCGAUCCUUCCGACGGAAGAUAACGUCUGCCCUUGGGAGACGGUGAGCUCGCCUCCGCCGAUCACCGUCGGAAGCGGCCGGACGAAGAGUAUCGUAUCGAAUCCGGGUCCGUCGGUGGACCAGACGGAACCGCAGACGCCGAACGUGAGCAGCCCGUCAACGAAGAAGAGCAGCUUCUCGUGCAGUGUUGACAGUGGCCAUCUGUCGACGGAUGUCUGUCCUUGGGAUUCGGCCAGCGCUAUGCUUCCGGCCACUUCGUCCGGCGGUACUCGCACCAAAAUUCCCGUUGCACAGCCAAAGAGUUCGACCGAAGUGGUGGCGCUGGGCGACGUAGUUUGCCCGUGGGAGUCGCACGAGCCGGAAACUCCGAAAGUUAAAUCGCCGAGUGAAGUGACAGUGGUCGUGUUGCAUCCAUCAAAACAAGCAUCGCCUGUUAUUAGCCUGGCCGGCAGUAGUGGUGGUAGUGGUGGCAGUGGUCAUUGCCGAAAAGAAUCCGCUUCUGGCCUCACUGUGCCGGAAUCCGGAACGGAGCCAUCGCAAGUGGAUAAAUCAUCGUCCAAAAUCAGCGACAUCUGUCCGUGGGAAGACGACACCCUAACGCCCACCUGGCUUUAACUUGAAUGGGAUUGUGUGCUGUCUGUUGUGUGAUGUUUUGCCUGUCCUUCAAAACAAAGAAAUCCCUAUUUCUAAAGAAAAACAAAACAAUAAUAAAUUAAACAAAAAAAAAAAAAAAAUCCUCUGCCCACACUACCCCACAAAAAAUAAAAACUCCUUCCGAAAUCCGCUCACCUUUCCUACUGCCCACUCAAAUGCUAACUUCGCUCUGUCUCUUCGUACACUCACGAACACCAAGCGCGCACCUUUCAAUUUCUUCCUCCUUAAAUCAAAUCUCAAAAGAGAAAGCUGUAAACUGGAUCAGCCAUUCGUCAAAACCUACGCCACAUUAGGCUAUUUGUGACGCAAUGAAGGCGGGACAAAAACAUUGCCGCCAACGCACCUUGUCUUCUUCCGGAAAUCCGGGAUUAAGAGGAGGAAGCACAAACAAAAAAAUCUAAGAAAAAAGGAAAAAAAAAUGAUCAUGUUGUAUUAAUCAAGUUGUAGAGAAAAUGUCUUGUCAAUCAUGUCUUGUCUUUGCCAUUGGUUUCGAAUGCUCUUUCAUUCCCCUUCUUCCUCCCGCCCCCCCCCCUUCGCCGACCAUUUUUCGUUUUCUUUCUGAAGCUAAAUCGGGUCACGAUCAGCUACUCUUUGAUCGACAAGAAAAGAAAAAUAUCGAAUCAAAAUCUGAGCCCAAUAGGAUUUGAUUGACAUUUUUUUUUGUUCCUUAAAAUCAAAGAGAGAGGCGGUCGUUAUAAUUACAGCGGACAAACGUCAGUUUCGAAUCGAUCAAAUAAGUUUGGUAAUUGAUUUUGCCAACGCUCCAAUUUUCAGAGUCAUUCGCCAAUUCAAACACCAAAAACAAUUUUCGAUAUUCACGCAGUUUGUUUUUAAAUUGAAAAAAAAAAUUAUUAUUAUUCGUCAAAAUCAAUGUUUAUAUCUUACGUGUGCGUGUCGUGUAUGUGGCUUUCACCGGCGAAUCGAGUUCCUGUCUCCUCGUUUUCGUCGACACUUUCUAUUCCGCCUGCUUCCGUGUCACACGCGUCCGCUUUGGUGUUGUGUGUAUUCCUUCUUUUUACCUCGUUAAAAAGAAGAAGACGAAGAAAAAUCUGAAAACAAACAAAAAAAAAUCUAGAUAUUUAGAAAAUAAUAAUUUUCACCCCAGUAAAAAAAAAAAAAAAAAAAAUUGAUUAAAGUCUUAGUCUUUAGAAUUAUCGGUAUCUGAGAAAAAAUUUAAAAAAAAAGUGCGUUGUAAAAACAGCCGGUUGGUGAUUUGAUUCGACGUCCACGUUUAAGUGCGAAAACGUGGACGUACAAAGCAUCUCUUUUCUUAAUUAGAAAAACCAAUCAAAUCACCUUCAACCUGUUUUCUAUCAACAGGCCC